AACUUUUCAGACAAUUUCUCCAAAGUAUUCUCUUUUAGUUGGUGGACAGUGGUUUGUUCAGGUGGGGAGGAAGAUAAAUUCUCUUUAAGUUGGUGGAACUCUUCAGAAAAUUUCUCCACAGCUGAGAUGUAGGCCUGUAAGGAAGAGGGGAGACUUCGAACUACCAGAGUUGUUUAGCCACUUAAUCCACUGUGGGUUCCUCAUCCUCUUUCCAGGCCAUUAUUGCCAAUGAGCUGGCAUAUGAUGAUGGUGCACUCCGUACAAACUUCCACCACAUGGGUCGUGUACAUGCCCCAUGCUGGACACCAAAAAGGACUGUUGUGCUGGCAGCUAAACAGCACACAGCUGUUCGCUCACCCUCCCUCCUCCCUCCCUCUCUGGGAUGGGGGAGAGAAAUGGGAAAGUGAAGCCUGUGAGUUGAGAUAAAGACAAUUUAUUAAGACAGGAAAACAAUUACAAUAAUAAUGAUGAUGAUAGUACUAUUAAUAAUAAUGUAUAUGAAACAAGUGAUGCACAAUGCAAUUGCUCACCACCCACUGAUCAAUGCCCAGCCUAACCCUAAGCAGUCUGCCCCCCCCCACCCCAGCUAGCUACUCCUAAAUAUUGUUUAGCAUGAUGUCAGAGGGUAUGGAAUAACCCAGUUUGGGUCAGCUGUCCUGGGUCUGUCCUCUCCCAGCUCUUGCUGCACCCCCAGCCUGCCUGUUGGUGAGAAGUUGAAAUGUCCUUGGCUUGGUGUAAGCACUGCAACAAUUAAAACAUCAGCAUGUUAUUAGCACUCUUCUCAUCCUAAGCCGAAACAUAGCACCCUACCAGCUACUAGGAAGAAAAUUAACUCUGUCCUAACUGAAACCAGGACAGUGGCUAAUAACAGAUCUGCUUUUCUCUGUGUCUAUGUGAACACCUGCUUUCUCUCCUGACACUUGUAUGUUGGUUGUUAAUCUAAAAGGUGAGAGGAAGGAGCAGGGAGUUGUUCACUUGGGUGGAGGGCUUCUUAAGGGCAUUUGUACAUGUGACACUUGUUUGCUCUAUUGAGUCUGCAUUUAGACUUGUCAUAAGUAGGGAAAAGGAGGGCAUACCUAUCUUAUUUUACGGAAAAACUCAGUACAUGUCAGAUUAAAGAUCUUGUCGAUCUUGAGUUUCUUUCAUAAUUGCAAAGCUGUGUUUGUACCCGAACAGGAAACAUACCCCACCAUUGUGAAUCUUGCAUAUAAUUCAUCAUGUUGAAAAGUGUGAUCUUAUUUGUGAAGUUGAAAAUGUUAAGGUUUGAGUUUCAGUAGUUGCACAAAGCCUCAGAAUUGAAGAAAUCCUGCAUUGUGGAGCAAGCUGUCACUCAUUCUCAUCCAGAACAAGAUGAGAAACCUCCCGACUCUGGUAUGUUAUGAGUAAUACUAUAAGUCAUUAAAUUAAACAGGCUCAUGGAGCAAGGUAGCCUUGCCCCAGAAUGAACCUUUUCCCUGCACUGUUUUGAUAUUACUUCAUUCGUAUGCUUGCUUAAUUUAGAACACUUAGUGUUAUGCUCGGAGACACAUAACCCAUUUCUUAUCCUUGGAUGAUAGCUAACUCUUUUUUGCUUCAAAUUCAGGCUCUGCACAUCAGAAGUCAAGCGUUCAUUAAUAUAUCUUAAAGUGUAAAUUCUACCCUUCCUUCUCUGAUUACUCCUUUACUCACUCUUCCCUUUCCUUCACUGGAAGAACUUAGGCUAUUGGAAUAAAUAUUUCGUAAAAGCAAUCACAUGGAAAUUUUUGGUCACUUUGAGGCCAGUUUUAAAAUAAUUUUGGUAAAAUGUUUUCCUAUCCAGUGUGGUAUUCCAUCCAUUUUCAUAGGCAAAGCAAGACUUGCUUUAGUUUCACUCAAAAGAAAAGCUACCAGAUACUGGAAGAUAGUUUGUAACUGAAGGAGUACAAAUGUAAUA
RNAcentral lists this long non-coding RNA (1912 nucleotides) under Anas zonorhyncha (Eastern spot-billed duck). Its description in RNAcentral is "lncRNA (ENSAZOG00000001743.1)". Lineage: Eukaryota; Metazoa; Chordata; Aves; Anseriformes; Anatidae. The record is from RNAcentral.